Molecule: long non-coding RNA, 579 nt
Organism: Saccostrea echinata
Lineage: Eukaryota; Metazoa; Mollusca; Bivalvia; Ostreida; Ostreidae
Exons: 3
Source: RefSeq, a predicted model, not a curated record
ACAACUUGGUUUUACUUGAAAGUGAAAAUACUUCGAUGAGGAUUGCAGUUUGACUGUCGUGGGAGAAAAAGACAAAACGUUGACAAUAAGGACGGAAUUCGAAGUGAGAUACCAUCAUUCAUGGCCCCAUCAUCAGUGAUGAUGAAGAGGAACUAACAAAGUUUGCUAUUCGGCAUGCAGCAAAUUAUUAGGAAACUUGCAGGAGAAAGCAAAAGAUAUUCCAGAGAGACUGUUUAAUUUCUCAAUCUAAACACAGAGAAAGCAAAUGGGAAGAGAACAAGGGCUCCAACAGACAAAAUAAAAGAAAUUAAGGAACAUGAUGAAGAGUUUAUCCCAAAUAAGAAGAAGAAAAACACUGAGGAUACAAGAGAGAAGAAACAGGAGCUAAGUCCCAAGGAAAAGAAGAUACCAAGUCACAAAACUCCUCCCUUGAGAAAACACUCUACUACCAACAUUCUUUCAUUGGUAGUAGUAGUAGAUAUUAGCAUUUCAUCCCAUGGAGGAUUGUGUUGAGAUAAUCAAGAAGCAAGCUUCCUGUGUCCAAAUCCUCCUUCUUCAGAAAAACCAAGGGAGAAUGAC